UGGGGAAUUUUGGACAAUGGGCGAAAGCCUNAUCCAGCAAUGCCGCGUGUGUGAAGAAGGCCUUCGGGUUGUAAAGCACUUUUGUCCGGAAAGAAAUCCUCUGGGUUAAUACCUCGGGGGGAUGACGGUACCGGAAGAAUAAGCACCGGCUAACUACGUGCCAGCAGCCGCGUAAUACGUAGGGUGCAAGCGUUAAUCGGAAUUACUGGGCGUAAAAGCGUGCGCAGGGCGGUUUUUGUAAGACGGAUGUGAAAUCCCCGGGGCUUAACCUGGGAACUGCAUUCGUGACUGCAAGGCUAGAGUAUGGCAGAGGGGGGUAGAAUUCCACGUGUGAGCAGUGAAAUGCGUAGAGAUGUGGAGGAAAUACCGAUGGCGAAGGCAGCCCCCUGGGCCAAAUACCUGACGCUCAUGCACGAAAAGCGU
RNAcentral lists this ribosomal RNA (423 nucleotides) under uncultured bacterium. Its description in RNAcentral is "partial 16S ribosomal RNA". It matches the Rfam family "Bacterial small subunit ribosomal RNA", at positions 355 to 762 of the family's 1533-position model. The record is from RNAcentral.